This 61-nucleotide non-coding RNA is filed under the name Tateyamaria sp. ANG-S1. RNAcentral's name for it is "Singlet oxygen resistance RNA X". It matches the Rfam family "Singlet oxygen resistance RNA X". Rfam says of the family: SorX (RSs2461)like SorY is a singlet oxygen induced sRNA that counteracts oxidative stress by targeting mRNA for a transporter in Rhodobacter. The record is from Rfam by way of RNAcentral. Lineage: Bacteria; Pseudomonadati; Pseudomonadota; Alphaproteobacteria; Rhodobacterales; Roseobacteraceae.
UCCCGGCGCGGAACACUUCCUCCCUGUCAGACUGGGCCGCGCUUCGUGCGCGGCCUUUUUU